GUGCCAGCAGCCGCGGUAAUAACGGAGGGGGCUAGCGUUGUUCGGAAUUAGCUGGGCGUAAAGCGCACGUAGGCGGCUUUGUAAGUCAGAGGUGAAAGCCUGGAGCUCAACUCCAGAACUGCCUUUGAGACUGCAUCGCUUGAAUCCAGGAGAGGUGAGUGGAAUUCCGAGUGUAGAGGUGAAAUUCGUAGAUAUUCGGAAGAACACCCAGUGGCGAAGGCGGCUCACUGGACUGGUAUUGACGCUGAGGUGCGAAAGCGUGGGGAGCAAACAGGAUUAGAUACCUGGUAGUCC
This 294-nucleotide ribosomal RNA is filed under the name uncultured microorganism. RNAcentral's name for it is "partial 16S ribosomal RNA". It matches the Rfam family "Bacterial small subunit ribosomal RNA", at positions 505 to 796 of the family's 1533-position model. The record is from RNAcentral.